This 253-nucleotide ribosomal RNA is filed under the name uncultured bacterium. Its description in RNAcentral is "partial 16S ribosomal RNA". It matches the Rfam family "Bacterial small subunit ribosomal RNA", at positions 524 to 776 of the family's 1533-position model. The record is from RNAcentral.
UACGAAGGGUGCAAGCGUUAAUCGGAAUUACUGGGCGUAAAGCGUGCGUAGGCGGUUUGUUAAGUCUGCUGUGAAAUCCCCGGGCUCAACCUGGGAAUGGCAGUGGAUACUGGCAAGCUAGAGUGUGUCAGAGGAUGGUGGAAUUCCCGGUGUAGCGGUGAAAUGCGUAGAGAUCGGGAGGAACAUCAGUGGCGAAGGCGGCCAUCUGGGACAACACUGACGCUGAGGCACGAAGGCGUGGGGAGCGAACGGG